GGUCCUGUAGCUCAGUCGGUAGAGCAACGGACUGAAAAUCCGUGUGUCGCCAGUUCAAUUCUGGCUGGGACCACCA
RNAcentral lists this transfer RNA (76 nucleotides) under Solobacterium sp. Its description in RNAcentral is "tRNA-Phe". It matches the Rfam family "tRNA". Rfam says of the family: Transfer RNA (tRNA) molecules are approximately 80 nucleotides in length. Their secondary structure includes four short double-helical elements and three loops (D, anti-codon, and T loops). Further hydrogen bonds mediate the characteristic L-shaped molecular structure. tRNAs have two regions of fundamental functional importance: the anti-codon, which is responsible for specific mRNA codon recognition, and the 3' end, to which the tRNAs corresponding amino acid is attached (by aminoacyl-tRNA synthetases). tRNAs cope with the degeneracy of the genetic code in two manners: having more than one tRNA (with a specific anti-codon) for a particular amino acid; and 'wobble' base-pairing, i.e. permitting non-standard base-pairing at the 3rd anti-codon position. The record is from RNAcentral. RNAcentral also lists the same sequence under 1 other name. Lineage: Bacteria; Bacillati; Bacillota; Erysipelotrichia; Erysipelotrichales; Erysipelotrichaceae.